UACGUAGGGUGCAGGCGUUAAUCGGAAUUACUGGGCGUAAAGCGUGCGCAGGCGGUUUGUUAAGACAGAUGUGAAAUCCCCGGGCUUAACCUGGGAACUGCGUUUGUAACUGGCAAGCUAGAGUGUGGCAGAGGGGGGUGGAGUUCCAAGUGUAGCAGUGAAAUGCGUAGAUAUUUGGAGGAACACCAAUGGCGAAGGCAGCCCCCUGGGUUAACACUGACGCUCAUGCACGAAAGCGUGGGGAGCAAACAGG
Molecule: ribosomal RNA, 253 nt
Filed under: uncultured bacterium
Lineage: Bacteria
Description: partial 16S ribosomal RNA
Rfam family: Bacterial small subunit ribosomal RNA
Source: RNAcentral